This 253-nucleotide ribosomal RNA is filed under the name uncultured bacterium. RNAcentral's name for it is "partial 16S ribosomal RNA". It matches the Rfam family "Bacterial small subunit ribosomal RNA", at positions 524 to 776 of the family's 1533-position model. The record is from RNAcentral.
UACGAAGGUCCCAAGCGUUAUCCGGAUUUAUUGGGUUUAAAGGGUGCGUAGGCGGGCUAUUAAGUCCGUGGUGAAAGCCCCAAGCUUAACUUGGGAACUGCCAUUGAUACUGAUGGUCUUGAGUACAUUUGAGGUGGGCGGAAUGUGUCAUGUAGCGGUGAAAUACUUAGAUAUGACACAGAACUCCGAUUGCGAAGGCAGCUCACUAAACUGUAACUGACGCUGAGGCACGAAAGCGUGGGGAUCAAACAGG